GACUAACACGUGACUAACCUACCUCCGAGUGGGGAAUAACUCCGGGAAACCGGGGCUAAUACCGCAUAACAUCUUCAGAUCGAGCACCAAUGCGCUUGGACAGGGGGUCGCGGCUGAUUAGCUUGUUGGUAAGGUAACGGCUUACCAAAGCGACGAUCCGUAGCCGGCCUGAUAGGGCGGUCGGCCACACUGACACUGAAAUACGGGUCAAACUCCUACGGGAGGCAGCAGUCGGGAAUUUUGGGCAAUGGGCGAAAGCCUGACCGGGCAACGCCGCGUGAAGGAUGAAAUCCUUCGGGAUGUAAACUUCCUUGGAACGGGAAGAAUAAUUGAGCGCUAACACCGUUCGCGAUGACGGUACCGUUUGUAAGCUCCGGCUAACUCCGUGCCAGCAGCCGCGGUAAUACGGGGGGAGCAAGCGUUGUUCGGAUUUACUGGGCGUAAAGGGCGCGUAUGCGGCCAGUGCAGUGUCAAUUGUGAAAUCUCCGGGCUUAACUCUGAAAGGUCAACUGAUACUGCGCGGUGUAGAGUGAGGAACGUGCAACUGGAAUUCUCGGUGUAAAAUGUGAAAUGC
This 574-nucleotide ribosomal RNA is filed under the name uncultured bacterium. RNAcentral describes it as "bacterial SSU rRNA". It matches the Rfam family "Bacterial small subunit ribosomal RNA", at positions 108 to 691 of the family's 1533-position model. The record is from RNAcentral.